This 476-nucleotide ribosomal RNA is filed under the name uncultured bacterium. RNAcentral's name for it is "bacterial SSU rRNA". It matches the Rfam family "Bacterial small subunit ribosomal RNA", at positions 328 to 793 of the family's 1533-position model. The record is from RNAcentral.
UGACAGUACUCCUACGGGGAGGCAGCAGUGGGGGAAUAUUGCACAAUGGGCGCAAGCCUGAUGCAGCCAUGCCGCGUGUGUGAAGAAGGCCUUCGGGUUGUAAAGCACUUUCAGUCGUGAGGAAGGUAGUGUAGUUAAUAGCUGCAUUAUUUGACGUUAGCGACAGAAGAAGCACCGGCUAACUCCGUGCCAGCAGCCGCGGUAAUACGGAGGGUGCGAGCGUUAAUCGGAAUUACUGGGCGUAAAGCGCAUGCAGGUGGUUUGUUAAGUCAGAUGUGAAAGCCCGGGGCUCAACCUCGGAAUAGCAUUUGAAACUGGCAGACUAGAGUACUGUAGAGGGGGGUAGGAAUUUCAGGUGUAGCGGUGAAAUGCGUAGAGAUCUGAAGGAAUACCGGUGGCGGAGGCGGCCCCCUGGACAGAUACUGACACUCAGAUGCGAAAGCGUGGGGAGCAAACAGGAUUAGAUACCCUGGUAG